This 253-nucleotide ribosomal RNA is filed under the name uncultured bacterium. Its description in RNAcentral is "partial 16S ribosomal RNA". It matches the Rfam family "Bacterial small subunit ribosomal RNA", at positions 524 to 776 of the family's 1533-position model. The record is from RNAcentral.
UACGGGGGGGGCAAGCGUUGUUCGGAAUUACUGGGCGUAAAGGGUUUGUAGGUGGCUUGCUAAGUCAGACGUGAAAUCCCUCAGCUUAACUGGGGAACUGCGUCUGAGACUGGCAAGCUUGAGUGCAGGAGAGGAACGCGGAAUUCCAGGUGUAGCGGUGAAAUGCGUAGAUAUCUGGAGGAACACCGGUGGCGAAGGCGGCGUUCUGGGUCUUACCUGACGCUGAGGAACGAAAGCCAGGGGAGCGAACGGG